UGGGAAUGAUGUCGAUUUUUAAAAUACAUAUAUAGUAGGUAAUGUCACACACAAAUUUUCUUUCAUUUAAGGUUACAUUACACAAUGCAUGGUGGCACAAGCAAGUCUUUAAUGCCAGCUCUUAGAAGCAGGAGGUAAAAGAAUCCAGAGUUCUAAGUCAUUCUAACUGCUCAGAUAGUUCAAAGCCAGCCUGGGUUGCAUUCAAACUUGUCUUUAAAAAAACAAGUGACUCGACAUUUGUACAACACAGUGAUAUUUCAGAUGAUGUUUGUGAAAUUGAGUUAAAUUUGAGUGUUGUAAGGAUGAGCCUUCAUUUAUUUGUCCCGACAAGCCAAAUCAACUUACUUAUGGAACUAACUUAAAGCAGUCUGCUUCUGUAAGUCCAGGCUGUCCUUCAACUUGUGUUUCCACAAGCUCUUGCCUCAACCAAGUGCUGAGAUUUAGGUGUGUAAACCAUUUGAAAUUAUUUUUCACUUGGGCUGUGUGGGACAAACAGCCCACAGAGUCUUGUGCUUCAAGGACUUCUUUUAAAAAAAAAAAUCAUAAGCUACUAGUCUCCAGUUACUCGGCCAGACACCUCCCUCCUCUUGCCUUCAAAUUUGCCUCUUUACAAAAGCUGCUUUGCUGGCAGUUCAGUAUGAAUUUAUUUUACAGCAUAUACAAGGUUUUCUGGUAGCUUGCAGUUCCUGAGAACUGCAACCGAAGGCUCUUAAGCUGAGCGGGGGACACACAGUAGGGCACUCACUACGUUGAUUGGCAGUUGAAGUGGCAGUUGGUGUGGAGUCGUCGCUGCCACGGGUACUCUUAUCUUUCCUGGCCACACCCCUGGGCCCAGGAGGCAGCUCUGAACAGAUGGUGAGUCUCCGGUGCCAGGUGUGCAGCGCGCCCUGCGCUGUGUGAGGCACAGGGCUCUUUGGUCCUUGCCGCACCCCACCCAUCCUAUGCCCGCGAGCGCCCCCAGCGCAAUGUGUGUCUCGGUGCUGUCCGCACGCGCGGUUAGCCGAAGGUGAAAGGCUGGGAAAAAAGGAACCCUAGUGCCAGGCAGAACCCGCCACCGGGCCAGCUGCUCGUGGCGAGCACGUUCCUCCCCUCCUCUGACUCCCAUCACUUGGCAGCCACCCCAAUCGCCUGCUCGCCCCUCUGCAGCAGCACACACGCCUUCGCACUUGCUCCCCUCCCUAUUCUCUUUUCUGACACUUCGUGGCUUACAUGGACCACUCUCCAGCGGGAUGCCCUUGGUCCCCGCCCGUCUCUUAGCCUUCAAGGUGGCUCUCCUCGUUCCCUAAUAUUUGGGGAACUCUAGGCGGCUUUUUUUUUUUCCAUAAUCGUAAUCAUUUGCUUGCCUCCUGGGACUCCAAACUGUAAUUGCUUUUACGUGUCUGUGGUCUCGAGGACAAGGAAUCCACUGAGAGAUGGUUUGGGGGUGCUGGGCUGGGAAGAGGAUGCUCUAUUCCGAUUCCGAGUACCGUUUGCGGGGUGGGGGCUGCAAGGAGGAAAGUGCGCUCAGCCUUUCCUUUAUCCACCCUCCCCCCGUCGCCCUCGGCAAGGGCUUUGGGGCGCCUUCGAGGUCCUCUGUGGACACACAAACACCUCAAUCUUCCUGAUCAGGCUAGAGCCUGGAGGUGGGGAACUAUCUGGUUCCUUCGUUCUGCCCCUGGGAAGAAGCCCUGGCCGCUGUGCGUGCACUGCCCCUCCCGCAGUCACAGUGAGAGCUGAAGCGUGAGUCCCAGACCGAUGCAGAUGGCACGCUAUUUAGUCCAGGAGAGGCUCACAGAGGGGUGAGGUACUCGGUUCUCGUGCAGCUUGUCAAGACUCUGCACAAAAUGGUGGUGGCUCUCCUCCUCCAAUCUCCACCACCCACCACUGCAGCACGAAGCCUUUCCUGGGGAAGCUCUCCGGAUGGUGGAGCCCAGGAGGCAGAGGCAGGAGGGUCUCUGUGAGUUCACAACCAGUCUGCAUAAUGAGUUCCAGAACAGCUCAGACUACAUAGAACAGGAUUAACCCUUUAAUGCCUGUUUCUCCACACUUACUUUGUAGUGAGUUCUUGCAUAAAACCUGUUCUUCAAGCUUCCAAAAUAUAUUCAUUUCCCAAAAUAUUUGCAUUUUGUGCUAUCUUUGGCAAGCAGCGUUGAAUUUAGUCAAAAUAAUCCAUGUGUGAAUACUGGCUCUGAGCUAGGCUGGCUGGAGCACGGUGGUCAAGUUUCUUAGUCCCUUGGAGCCUCCGUUCUAAAUCGUUCCAUAGAAGGCCACCUGACUGAGAAAGCUGUUGUGAGAAUUGAGUGUGACCCCAUAUGUGGAACACAUGCAGCAAUGCCUGGCAGCAAUCUGUGCUCAUUAGGUACCAGCCCUUCACCUUGUGCGGCUGAUUAUAAAAAGGUAAAGGUUGUGCAAGCCAACCACAGUGCCAGCCACUCAGAAAUCAGACAGCACUAAAUAACAAUAAAUAUGCUGUCUGCUUCUCAAAUCCUUAAUAUUAGUAUGAAUUGAGGACAAGGCUAGAGCUGGAGCCCAGUGGCUAAGUGCUCGUGAAGCACACAUGAGGCCAUGAGGCCCUGGAUUGGCCUCCCAGUAUCAAUCACAAUAAGACAGACCUGGUGAAGCCAUGCCAGUACUGGGGAAGAUAGCUCAAGGCUAUCUUUGGUUAAAUAGUAGGUCUGGGGGCAGCCUGGACUUUGUGAGCUCUUGUCUGAAAACAAAAAGAAUGGUUUGGGAGCGUGUGUGUGUGUGUGUGUGUGUGUGUGUGUGUGUGUGUGUGUAUUAUUGGGAAUUGAACCUUGAGUCUGGGACAUGCUAGGUUCUCUUCCAUGGAUCUAAGUCCCAGCCAGAAUUCUUUUUAUUUUUUUAAUAUAUUUUUAAAUUAUUGCUAGUGAAUUUCAUGCAAGUAUACAAUGCAGGUUUUGAUCAAAUCCAUCCUCUACACUCCCCCCGCCCCCCGCCCCCUAGCCAGGACUCUUUAAAAGAGCAGAACCAGACCACAGUCUUAAGUUCUCCAUAUAUUCUCAGUGCAAACCAAAGUGAAAAUGACUACCCUCACAGUGUGUUAGCAUGAUCUCAAUAAGUAUACAGGCAAAAGAUUGAUACCACCCUUUUUACAAGGAGAUGUGGCGAUGAUUCAGUAGUAAACCUGAGAUCAUAGAAUCAGAAGGGGAAGAAGGGUGGGGCUGUGGCUCAGUGGUAGGAUUCUUGCCCUAACAUGUAUGAGACCCUGGGUUGGAGCCCCAGCACUCAACUGCAUUAAUUAGGAAAGAAGAGGAAGGGGGCCCUGGAAUCUUAUUUCCUGAGCCCAAGAAUGAACUUAGAUCCAGUGUCUCUCCAAGUGUGGUGGCACAUCAUUCAGAAGACAAAAACAGGAGGAUUGCUUGGCGACCAAGUUUAAGGCCAGGCUGGCCUACAAAGUGUAUUCCGGGAUAGUUAGAACUGUUACAUAAUGAGACUCUCUGUCUCUAGAAAACAAAAGCAAGCCAGGAGCUGGUGGGCCGUGCAUGCCUUUCAUCCCUGCACUUAGGAAGCAGAGACAGGUAAAUCUCUGAGUUCCAAGCCAGCCUGGUUUCCAGAGUGAGUGCUAGACCAGCCAAGGCUACACAGAGAAACGCUGUCUUGAAAAACAAAACAAAACAAAACAAAAAAGAAAGAAAAAAAAAGAGAGAGAGAAAAAGGAAGGAAAGGAAAUGAAACAAAAAUGAAAAUUAAUUAAAACAACAACAACAACAAAAACAAUCAGAAUAGGUGUCCCCGUUUGAGAACUAGAGAAGCAUAGGUGGGAGGCCUUGAGUCUUUGGUAAGGAUUGGCCAUCACCUCAACCCUCCACAUCCUUCCUUCAGCUCUGAUCCAUUUCUCCAAGGCUGUCUUGUACAUCUCAGUUUGAAGUGCAAGCUUAAGUAAUUUGUGUGUGUGUGUGUGUGUGUGUGUGUGUGUGUGUGUGUGUGAAUACAUAUUAGUUGAACAAAUGUGUGUUAAAAUAUGAAUGCACGGUCUUCAUUUCAGGAGUCAGCAAGGCAGAAGAAAUGAUCUAGCUAUCAGUAGUGGAUCUUCUGCUCUGUCAUUCAAAAGGUGGGGUGGGUGACCACGCUGCUGGUUAUUCAGAAUGCCUUCACACAGAGGCUCUAGGCUACCCAUCCUAUCCUAAUGAGAUUGGCCGUUGCUACAGUUAACUUGAAGGGUUUUAUGGUUUCCUGCAUGUGUUGUUUUCCUGCUUAAUGUUAAAAAGAAGAAGAAGAAAAAGCUCACGUCACUAAACUGAAUUUCCCAGGGGGCUUUUGUAUCUUCUGCAGUCUGGCUUAUGCCUUGGUUAUGAUGAGAUACCUCUAUGUGUGGAUAUCUGUAGAUACAGGUGAUAACAAAGUUAGCCCAUUUUCUUUGCUUCUGACAGUUUCCAUUCAAGACAGUUGGUUUAAAUGGAGUCCUGCCAACAUGCCAGGCACAAGUCAAGUCGUGGCAUGAGCUUUGCAGCCAGAGCCUUUCCUUCAACCUGCAGACUUUGUGGUAAAGGCCAAAGUUACAACUGAUUUAUACACCACCUUGCUUUGAACCGCCCCUAAGACACUCCAGUGACAAGACAUCGACAUCUGAUUGGAAGGUUUUGGAUUUUAUUUUUAAUGACUUGGAGAGAAGGAACAAAUGAAGUAUAAUUUACUCAGC
This is a long non-coding RNA of Mus musculus (house mouse), 4639 nucleotides long. RefSeq annotates it as predicted gene, 46405. The record is from RefSeq and is a predicted model, not a curated record. The transcript has 2 exons. Lineage: Eukaryota; Metazoa; Chordata; Mammalia; Rodentia; Muridae.